GCAUGUAUAAUUAAUUUGUCAAAAAUUUAAUGUAUAUCCUAUAAGCUGUACUUGCUUUUGGAAUAAAGUAUUAUUAUUAUUAUUAUAUAGAGGAAACGUGCGUCUGGCGUGCUAAAUUCUAAACCUGGUAUAUUUGAUGAGUUGUUGGCUACAUAUAGAAAUGCCUGUACCAAGUCAGGAAUCUGAUAAUUCUUUUCCAUUCGUU
Molecule: long non-coding RNA, 205 nt
Filed under: Mytilus galloprovincialis (Mediterranean mussel)
Lineage: Eukaryota; Metazoa; Mollusca; Bivalvia; Mytilida; Mytilidae
Source: RNAcentral